GAUGAACGCACAAGACGUGCCUAACACAUGCAAAUCGAAUGAAAACAAUAAUUAAUUAUUGUUUUCAUGGUGAACGGGUGAGUAAUACAUAAGAAUCAGCUUUUAGAUAAGGCAUAAAAGAGUAAUAUCUUGGUAAUUCCUUAUAUGCGCAGUAGUGCUUAAAAAGGGGAUUCCCGUCUAAAAACGAGCUUAUGUCUGAUUAGCUAGUUGGCGAGUUAAAAGCUCACCAAGGCGAAGAUCAGUAGCUGGCCUGAGAGGGCGGCCAGCCACAUUGGGACUG
Molecule: ribosomal RNA, 280 nt
Filed under: Apicomplexa sp.
Lineage: Eukaryota; Apicomplexa
Description: partial small subunit ribosomal RNA
Rfam family: Bacterial small subunit ribosomal RNA
Source: RNAcentral